UUUUGUGGGCGAAGAGAGCUCAAGUCAUCACUGAAAUCUGUUAAAUAUCAAAAAAAUGAGUUAAGUUAAUAUUAUAAAGUAAGAGAUAGAGAAUGUAAGCAAUCAAAAUUCAUAUCUAAGCCAAACCUCUCCCACCUUCCUGUCUUUCUCUCUCGGUUAGCCUUAUUUGUAGCAUACUUCGCCUCAAAUUAAUAGAUAGAAUCUUCUUGCAUUUUUAGCCUUGAACUUGGGGAUAAUGGAUACUCUAUGACCAUUUUCUUGGUUCUUGAAAACAUUACAAAUUUUAAAGUGACAAUCAUGAAAGAAGCAUUUCGACCACAUAAAUGGACUGACAGCUAUGAGUAUACAAUAUGCAUCAUAUCAAGUUCAAGCCUGAAAAACAGUUUGGCAAAAAUGCAAGGUAAGGAUGCGUAC
Molecule: long non-coding RNA, 414 nt
Filed under: Capsicum annuum
Lineage: Eukaryota; Viridiplantae; Streptophyta; Magnoliopsida; Solanales; Solanaceae
Description: long non-coding RNA (CANN_LNC019978)
Source: RNAcentral